GACGAACGCUGGCGGCGUGCUUAACACAUGCAAGUCGAACGGAAAGGCCCUGCUUUUGUGGGGUGCUCGAGUGGCGAACGGGUGAGUAACACGUGAGUAACCUGCCCUUGACUUUGGGAUAACUUCAGGAAACUGGGGCUAAUACCGGAUAGGAGCUCCUGCUGCAUGGUGGGGGUUGGAAAGUUUCGGCGGUUGGGGAUGGACUCGCGGCUUAUCAGCUUGUUGGUGGGGUAGUGGCUUACCAAGGCUUUGACGGGUAGCCGGCCUGAGAGGGUGACCGGCCACAUUGGGACUGGGAUACGGCCCAGACUCCUCCGGGAGGCAGCGGUGGGGAAUAUUGCACAAGGGGCGGAAGCCUGAUGCAGCAACGCCGCGUGCGGGAUGACGGCCUUCGGGUUGUAAACCGCUUUCGCCUGUGACGAAGCGUGAGUGACGGUAAUGGGUAAAGAAGCACCGGCUACCUACG
This 466-nucleotide ribosomal RNA is filed under the name uncultured bacterium. RNAcentral describes it as "partial 16S ribosomal RNA". It matches the Rfam family "Bacterial small subunit ribosomal RNA", at positions 28 to 505 of the family's 1533-position model. The record is from RNAcentral.